GUGGGGAAUAUUGGACAAUGGGCGAAAGCCUGAUCCAGCAAUGCCGCGUGAGUGAUGAAGGCCUUAGGGUUGUAAAGCUCUUUUACCAGGGAUGAUAAUGACAGUACCUGGAGAAUAAGCUCCGGCUAACUCCGUGCCAGCAGCCGCGGUAAUACGGAGGGAGCUAGCGUUGUUCGGAAUUACUGGGCGUAAAGCGAACGUAGGCGGUUACUCAAGUCAGAGGUGAAAGCCCGGGGCUCAACCCCGGAACUGCCUUUGAAACUAGGUAACUAGAAUCUUGGAGAGGUCAGUGGAAUUCCGAGUGUAGAGGUGAAAUUCGUAGAUAUUCGGAAGAACACCAGUGGCGAAGGCGACUGACUGGACAAGUAUUGACGCUGAGGUGCGAAAGCGUGGGGAGCAAACAGGAUUAGAAACCCGAGUAGUCC
RNAcentral lists this ribosomal RNA (425 nucleotides) under uncultured bacterium. Its description in RNAcentral is "partial 16S ribosomal RNA". It matches the Rfam family "Bacterial small subunit ribosomal RNA", at positions 354 to 796 of the family's 1533-position model. The record is from RNAcentral.